CGGGUAACGGGGAAUCAGGGUUCGAUUCCGGAGAGGGAGCCUGAGAAAUGGCUACCACAUCCAAGGAUGGCAGCAGGCGCGCAAAUUACCCACUCCCAGCUUGGGGAGGUAGUGACGAAAAAUAACAAUGCGGGACUCUAAGAGGCCCCGUAAUUGGAAUGAGUACACCUUAAAUCGUUUAACGAGUAUCAAUUGGAGGGCAAGUCUGGUGCCAGCAGCCGCGGUAAUUCCAGCUCCAAUAGCGUAUAUUAAAGUUGCUGCAGUUAAAAAGCUCGUAGUUGGAUCUGGGGCUUGAGGUCGCUGUCUAUCGUUUCGGCGAUGACGGUGAUGCUCAGCUCUGCUUGCCGGUGACUGUUGCGGUGUUCUUCACUGAGCGCUGUAGCAGCACGGCACGUUUACUUUGAAAAAAAUUAGAGUGCUCAAAGCGUGCUUGUCGCUUGAAUAAUGUUGCAUGGAAUAAUGGAAUAGGACCUCGGUUCUAUUUUGUUGGUUUUCGGAGCUUGAGGUAAUGAUUAAGAGGGACGAACGGGGGCAUUCGUAUUGCGGUGUUAGAGGUGAAAUUCUUGGAUCGCCGCAAGACGGACUACUGCGAAAGCAUUUGCCAAGAACGCUUUCAUUAAUUAAGAACGAAAGUCAGAGGUUCGAAGACGAUCAGACACCGUCCUAGUUCUGACCAUAAACGAUGCCGACCAGCGAUCCGUAGUGGUUGCUUUAUGGACCCUACGGGCAGCCUCCGGGAAACCAAAGUAUUUGGGUUCCGGGGGAAGUAUGGUUGCAAAGCUGAAACUUAAAGGAAUUGACGGAAGGGCACACCAGGAGUGGAGCCUGCGGCUUAAUUUGACACAACACGGGAAAACUCACCCGGUCCGGACACCGUAAGGAUUGACAGACCGAUAGCUCUUUCUUGAUUCGGUGGAUGGUGGUGCAUGGCCGUUCUUAGUUGGUGGAGUGAUUUGUCUGGUUAAUUCCGAUAACGAACGAGACUCUAGCCUGCUAAGUAGUGUUGCUAUUGUUAUAUGGUUGACACUUCUUAGAGGGACAAGUGGCAUUUAGCCACGCGAAAUUGAGCAAUAACAGGUCUGUGAUGCCCUUAGAUGUCCGGGGCCGCAUGCGCGCUACACUGGAGAAGUCAGCGUGUGUUAUCCAGGUCCGAAAGGACUGGGUAAUCCGUUGAACCUUCUUCGUGCUUGGGACUGUGGCUUGGAACUAUUCCACAUGAACGAGGAAUUCCUAGUAAUUGCAAGUCAUAAGCUUGCGUUGAUUACGUCCCUGCCCUUUGUACACACCGCCCGUCGCUACUACCGAUUGAAUGGUUUAGCAAGGUCCUCGGAUCGUGGCCGUAGGGGCACGCAAGUGUUUCUGCGGUUUGCGAGAAGACGACCAAACUUGAUCAUUUAGAGGAAGUAAAAGUCGUAACAAGGUU
RNAcentral lists this ribosomal RNA (1423 nucleotides) under metagenome. RNAcentral describes it as "SSU rRNA". It matches the Rfam family "Eukaryotic small subunit ribosomal RNA", at positions 356 to 1801 of the family's 1831-position model. The record is from RNAcentral.